UCGGGAAUUUUGCGCAAUGGGCGAAAGCCUGACGCAGCAACGCCGCGUGAGGGAUGAAGGCCUUCGGGUUGUAAACCUCUUUUGUCAGGGACGAUGAUGACGGUACCUGACGAAUAAGCCACGGCUAACUACGUG
RNAcentral lists this ribosomal RNA (135 nucleotides) under uncultured bacterium. RNAcentral's name for it is "partial 16S ribosomal RNA". It matches the Rfam family "Bacterial small subunit ribosomal RNA", at positions 355 to 507 of the family's 1533-position model. The record is from RNAcentral.